RNA transcript from Mangifera indica (mango), 3428 nucleotides. It is a transcript of the gene named paramyosin-like, with no coding region annotated. Lineage: Eukaryota; Viridiplantae; Streptophyta; Magnoliopsida; Sapindales; Anacardiaceae. The record is from RefSeq and is a predicted model, not a curated record. The transcript is spliced from 7 exons.
UGGAACGAAAAGACACAGCGAGAAAGACUGGUUGCCAAUUAUCGUUGUUGUUUGUUCUGCUUCGCUUGGUCGCUCCGUCUUCUUCACGGUACGAAUACGAUCUUCCCAAAUUCAAAUUUCUUGAGAAAACUUAAUUUGCCUUCAAACAUUGGGGGAGUGGAUUAGUGAUUUGUGUUCCGUACGUUACAAGUCAAAUAGAUUCUACUCGUUGAAUUUGUCGUUGUGUGAUUGAUUUGAGAGUGAUUUAGAAGUUCGGGGAUUUUGGAUUAUGGCGACGGCCGCUGAUGAGGACGGCGAUGCGGUGCUGAGUGACGUGGAAGAAGAGAUCAAUGUGAGAGAUUCGUCUGAAGAGGAGGUUUCUGUUGAGAGAUAUCGUGAAGUGCUCGCGGAGUUAAAUCGAGAGAGGCAAGCGCGACAGGCAGCGGAGAAUUUGACGUCUGAAUUGAGUGAGAAAUUCAAUCGGUUGAAGGCUUUAGCUCACGAGUCAAUCAAGCGGCGAGACGAGUUCGCGAGACAGAGAGACGAAGCUUUGCGCGAGAAGGAGGAGGUUACGAGAUCGAAUGAGAAGUUAUCGGCCAAAAUCGCCGAAGCUAAUAAUGCGAAAGAGGAGAUUUUGAAGCAGUUAGAUGAAAUGACGAGAGCAAAAGAUGGAUUAAAAUCGGAAAUUGAGAAUUCGGCUCAUAUGCUAGUGACAGCAAUUGAUAAAAUAUCGGGAAAAGUUAGUCAUUUUAAGAAUUUCUCGGCCGGUGGAUUGCCCAGGUCGCAGAAAUAUACUGGAUUGCCGGCCGUUGCUUACGGGGUGAUAAAGAGAACGAACGAGAUUGUUGAAGAGCUUGUUAGACAAAUUGAUUCGACUGCAAAGUCUAGGAAUGAUGUGAGAGAACAGAUGGAGCAGAGAAAUUUCGAGAUUGCCAUUGAGGUUUCGGAACUUGAAGCCACCAUUAGUGGAUUGAGAGAGGAAGUUGCAAAGAAGAACAAUGUUAUUGAGGGUUUGGAGAAGAGUGUGAAAGAAAAAGAAGAGAAGAUUGUGGAGUUUGAAAAUCAUGGUUUGGAGCUGAGGCAGUUACUGGGUGAAUGUGAUGAUAAGUUGAGGAAUUUGGAAACUAAAAUGGAAUCUCAGAGGCCUUUGUUGGUUGAUCAGUUGAAUUAUGUAUCCAAAAUUCAUGACCAGGUUUAUGCUGUGAUCAAGUUUGUUGAUGAUGGUAAUUUGGAUCAAUCAGAGUUAUCUGAGUCUUUAUUUCUACCGCAAGAAACUGAUAUGGAAGAGAACAUACGAGCUUCAUUAGCAGGAAUGGAGUCUAUAUAUCAGUUAACGAGAAUAGUGGGUGAGAAGACAAGGGAUUUGGUAGAGGACAAGAAUCUUGAAUUGAAGAAUUUAAAAGAAACAGUAGGUCGAUUGAUUAAAGAGAAAGAACAUAUUGGUUCAUUGCUCAGGAGUGCUUUGUCAAAAAGAUUCACGGUAGAUACAUCUUCAAAAACAAAUGAGUUGUUUCAGGUAGCAGAGAAUGGUUUAAGAGAAUCUGGGAUAGAUUUUAAGUUCAGUAAGCUGCUAGAUGGUAAGGUUGCAGCUUCGCAUAAUAAAGCUGUUAUGGAGACAGAGGAGGAUGAAAUAUACACUUUGGCCGGUGCUUUGGAGAAUAUUGUGAAGGAAUCUCAACUGGAGAUCAUUGGACUACAGCAUUCUGUGGAAGAAUUAAGGGCAGAGUCAGACUUACUUAAAGAGCGUGUAGAGUCUCAGGCCAAGGAACUCAGCCAUAAAAUGCGACGAAUAGAGGAACUCGAAGAGAAGGAGAGAGUGGCAAAUGAAAAUGUUGAGGGGCUUAUGCUGGACAUUGCUGCUGCUGAAGAAGAGAUUACCAGAUGGAAAGCAGCAGCUGAGCAAGAGGCUGAUGCAGGCAAAGGUGUUGAACAAGAGUUUGUGUCACAGUUGUCAGCACUUAAACAAGAACUAGAAGAGGUGAAACAGGCUUUGUCGGAAUCAGAGAAGAAGCUGAAAUUCAAAGAAGAAACAGCUGCUGCUGCUAUGGCAGCAAGAGAUGCGGCUGAGAAAUCAUUGAGGUUGGCAGAUAUGAGAGCAUCUAGGCUGAGGGAAAGAGUUGAGGAGCUCAGCCGACAACUUGAAGAAUAUGAAACAACAGAAGACUCAAGAGGCCGAAAUAGACCUAGAUAUGUGUGCUGGCCAUGGCAAUGGCUUGGAAUAGACUUUGUGGGAAUCCACAAGCCUCAUUCACUCCAACAGACUUCGAAUGAAAUGGAGCUUUCUGAACCCCUUAUCUGAAUACAAGUCUUGGACAGGUUUUUUUGAGUGAGACUUGAGUGUGCGGGAGCCAGCACAUUUCGAUGCUGUCCAAGCAAUCUUGUGAUAUCUUCAACAACGUUAAACUGGUGUCAAUGGCAUCAACCAAUGCCAUCUCCCAAAUCAAUGGCAUCAACCAAUUCCGACAUCGCCAAAGAGUUUCACUUCUUCCGAGUUUGCAAGGAUGGUCGCAUCGAGUUGUUCCGUCCACACUGGGACAAGAUCUCGCCCACCGAUGACCCCAUCACCGGAGUUUGUACCAAAGACGUCACCAUCUCCUCUGAACCUCUUGUGUCCGCCCGUAUUUUCAUCCCUCAACUCACAAGCCCCCACCCAAAAGUUCCCUCUCUUACUCUACGUCCACAGCGGCGGCUUCUCCAUGCUCUCUGCCUUUUCUCCGCAGUACCAUAACUUCUGCAGCACCGUUUCAUCCCAAGCCGGCGUAAUAGUCAUCUCCGUUGAGUACGGACUCUUCCCAGCCCGACCCAUUCCUGCUUGUUACAAAGACUCAUGGGCUGCUCUCCGCCGGGCGGCGUCGCACGUAGGUGGAAACGGACUUGACCCUUGGUUGAACCACAGCGCCGACUUCAGCAAAGUUUUUAUCGGCUGUGAUAGCGCUGGAGGAAAUAUUUCGCAUACUCUGACUUUCCGAGUCGAUCAAUCGGGUUAGCGGGUGUGAAAGUAGAUGGUGUGAUUUUGGUUCAUCCGUAUUUCGGUGGAACGGAAGAUGAUGAGAUGUGGCUGUGUAUGAAUCCAAGUAACAGUGGGUUGCAGGAUCCGAGCAUGAAACCGCCUGCAGAGGAUCUGGCUGAGCUUGGGUGUGAGAGAGUGCUGAUACUUGUGGCGGAGAAAGAUCAUUUGAGGAUCCCGGGGAAAGAUUAAUGUGAAGAUGUGAAGAAAAGUGGAUGAAGAGGAAAAGUUGAGCUGGUUGAAAAUCAUGGGGAAGAACACUGCUUCCAUUUUCACGAUCCCAAAUAUGAAAAGGGUGUGGGGUUAACCAAUAAGUUUGUUUCAUUUAUCAAACAAGGUUAACGGGUUUUCGUCAAGAUCUCGCUGUUGUAAUAAGAGUAGUGAGUCUCUGAUAUUGAUGAAAUAAUUACAAUCCAUGAUUGAGCUCUGAAAUUUACUUUAA